AGAUAUCCACCGCCAGCUGCAAGGGAAAGGCAAAUGUUGGGGCAAGAAACGGAGUAAGAGCACGCCUGGCUAUUGGCAACCACAUAGCCCGGUAAGCCAU
RNAcentral lists this non-coding RNA (100 nucleotides) under Heterosigma akashiwo. Lineage: Eukaryota; Raphidophyceae; Chattonellales; Chattonellaceae. The record is from RNAcentral.